AGAUGUACAACACUCUUUUUUUUAUAGUGUUCUGUAAAUUAUCAGGAACACCAGUUGUGAUGAAUGGGAAGACUGGCAGGCUGAGAAAUGGGUAUAAGGGGAGGGAAUACCCCUGCUUAUCUUUUCAUACUGGUUAGUUCCUUUGGUCAAGGUUUUGUACAAAUGUUGUUCAUAUCAGAUGUAUACUUGUUAUUUGGAGCUCUGUAAAAAAAAAAAAAAAAAAAAAAAAAAAAAAUGUAAAAAAAUUGUAAACAGAGUUCUAGAUAAUAACUGGGUGGUAUGAAAUGUGGGUUAAAUAUUUUCGGUAUAUUUUAAAUGAUUUUUUUUUUAUGCAUCUGAUAUUUUUUGUGUAUAAAAUGUUUUGUUAUUUUUUUAUAGAAUUGCUUUAGUUGCCUUCUUGACUAACAUUUAUUGGUGAAUGGAGAGACUAGCAGGCUGAGAUUGAGGCAUAAGGGGAGGGAUUACCCCUGCUUUUCUCUUCAUACUUGUAAAUUCUGUCACUGCACGGAAGGUCAACAAUUAAGAAUAUAUAAGUUUUUUUAUGUAUCAAUGUAAGUUAGAUAAGUUAUAUCAGAUGUAUAUAAAGUAAGAUGAAAGUAUUCUUUAGAGCUCUGUAAAAAAAAAAGCUUGUAAACAGAGGUCUAGAUAAUGCAUUAAGGGGUUUGGUUUGACAUGGGGAUUUCAAAUUAUAUUUACAAGUCAUCAUCUACAAAAAUGCAUCUGAUAUUAUUUGCCCCCAGCCCAGUUUCAUGUCCCAAAUAUAAUGACUGCAGAAUAAUGGCUACAGCUUAGUCAACAGCCUUAUUUAAAGUUUCUGAUUCACUUCCAUUCCCAACCCCACCCCACCCCCACCCUUUUAAUAAGUAGUUAUAGAUUAAGGUUUCUUAUUGGGAGUAAUGAUUGAUUGAUUUUAAUUAAGUGUCACAGAAUUAUUAAGAUACUAAUUUCUGUGUAACAAGAUUAAUCUCCAAU
RNAcentral lists this long non-coding RNA (972 nucleotides) under Mytilus galloprovincialis (Mediterranean mussel). Lineage: Eukaryota; Metazoa; Mollusca; Bivalvia; Mytilida; Mytilidae. The record is from RNAcentral.